CGGGUAUGAGUGCCGCUUUGUGUUUGUCAUCCUUCCAGAAAGCUGCGUCUACCGUUCAUUCGGCCGGAUGUAUGCGAUCUGGAUCUAUUACUUUGAAAAAAUUAGAGUGUUUAAAGCAGGCUUAUGCUGUGAAUACAUUAGCAUGGAAUAAUAAUUUAGGACUUUGGUUCUAUUUUGUUGGUUUCUAGGACUGAAGUAAUGAUUGAUAGGGAUAGUUGGGGGUGCUAGUAUUCCGCGGCCAGAGGUGAAAUUCUUGGAUCUAUUGAAGACUAACUACUGCGAAAGCAUUUGCCAAGGAUGUUUUCAUUGAUAAGGAACGAAAGUUAGGGGAUCGAAGACGAUCAGAUACCGUCGUAGUCUUAACUAUAAACUAUGCCGACUAGGGAUCGGACGAUGUUAUUUCUUGACGCGUUCGGCACCUUUCGAGAAAUCAAAGUGCUUGGGCUCCAGGGGGAGUAUGGUCGCAAGGCUGAAACUUAAAGAAAUUGACGGAAGGGCACCACCAGGGGUGGAACCUGCGGCUUAAUUUGACUCAACACGGGGAAACUCACCAGGUCCAGACACAGUGAGGAUUGACAGAUUGAGAGCUCUUUCUUGAUUCUGUGGGUGGUGGUGCAUGGCCGUUCUUAGUUGGUGGAGUGAUUUGUCUGCUUAAUUGCGAUAACGAACGAGACCUUAACCUGCUAAAUAGCCCGUACUGCUCUGGCAGUUCGCCGGCUUCUUAGAGGGACUAUCGG
This 737-nucleotide ribosomal RNA is filed under the name uncultured eukaryote. Its description in RNAcentral is "bacterial SSU rRNA". It matches the Rfam family "Eukaryotic small subunit ribosomal RNA", at positions 665 to 1426 of the family's 1831-position model. The record is from RNAcentral.